AUAUUGAUUUUUUAAUACUAUAUUUCGUUGGCAAUGGUGUGAUUAUGGUGAAUAUAGUGUUAUGGGACUGCAAGUUUCUGCUUUAAGUUUUAAUUUGCCCCAGGGGCGGUUCUAGACCCUUUUAAGUGGGGCUCCAGCCACCCUGCCGUCAUCUUAGCCCCCCUAAAAUUAGUCUUAAUAUUUCUACCAAACUAUCAAAUAUAUUUUUCUGAAGUUUUAUUUAUUUGUAAAAACAAUUAAUUCGAAGAUAAUUAUUAAAAAAACGCAAAAUGCAAGACAUUUAGAAAAAAAUUACGAGUUUAUGAGGCAUUUGAUUAGCUUUGCUGUUCUGCGCAUGCGUCGUAACCGUCAGUGGAGGAGAGCUCGAGCGCCUGUGCUUCAGGUCACACAGAGGGAGCAGUUGUUUCAUAAAAUAUCCAGCGUGGAAGCUCAGAAGGUGCAUUUAUAGUCCAUCAUGACAUAAAAAAUCCUCUGCAUGCAACCACGAGGAGAGGGGGAAUUUACUAAGGAGUUUUGUCUAUAUAUUAUAUAAAAUCUACUGUUGGGAAGAGCAGAACCUAAUCCAAAUAAAAAUAAACAAGCUGUUAAAAGCCAGUUGAAGGUGGUCAACACAAACCAAAUGAAGAUGUUGCACAUUCCACAAACAAUAAAAAAGAAGAUCAAGUUUUGUGUCCAACACACUUGGAUGAGACGUGCCCGACCCCUGACUUUGUCUACCCUACAUUAAGUUGUGAUGGCACACUUCAUGACAGUAAACAUCGGUAUCAAGAUGAUGUGAUUGAUCUAUACCCUAGAAUAAGCUGUGACACUAUGAGACGGUGACAUAAUGAACAGCCAUCUUCCAGACAACCGAAACAGUAUUGUCUACAAUACCAAAUUCUGGAUUGACGCCCCAGUACCAGAAGGCACUCCAAUCCCAGAGAGCAUCCCAUUGUGAGGUAACACAACGAAAAAAUAACAGGAUGGAGACUACCUGAUUCUUCACCUAUGGCCUUAGCUUCAAAUGCAAGAAGUCCAGCAACUUUCUGAGCUGGUGGAUAUUCUAUCAGAGACUGCAUGAACAACGUUAUGAACAGAAUGAUGUCUAAUUGUCUUAUGGCAAAGUUCAAUAUGAGGGGUGGUGGACAUCUGGAAAAUAAGUCUUUUAAAGGCACACCUUUGUAUUAUGUUAUUCAAGAUGCUGUGAGGAGGUGGAGCCCAAAAGCCACGGACUCGGAAAUCGAUGCAGCUAUGGCAGACCACCUCAAGCACGCUCCAGGAAGAGAGCUAGGGGUUGUGAAUACAAAAAAUAAGCCAAACAGAUGUAAUGUGUUAGAGAUAGUUCACACAAAAAUGAAAAUUGUUAUAAUUUUCUUACCCACGUGUUUCAAACCUGUAUACAUUUCUAUUUUUUGCUGAACACAAAGAUUGAAUAAUGUUUGUAACCAAGCAUUUCUCACAACCCAUUAACUGUCAUAAUCAUUUUUUUUACAAUUGUAGUAAUGGGUUGUGAGAUCU
This is a non-coding RNA of Paramisgurnus dabryanus, 1497 nucleotides long. Lineage: Eukaryota; Metazoa; Chordata; Actinopteri; Cypriniformes; Cobitidae. The record is from RefSeq and is a predicted model, not a curated record.